AGAGUUUGAUUAGGGCUCAGAUUGAACGCUGGCGGCAGGCUUAACACAUGCAAGUCGAGCGGCAGCGGAAAGAAGCUUGCUUCUUUGCCGGCGAGCGGCGGACGGGUGAGUAAUGUCUGGGGAUCUGCCCGAUGGAGGGGGAUAACUACUGGAAACGGUAGCUAAUACCGCAUAAUGUCGCAAGACCAAAGUGGGGGACCUUCGGGCCUCACACCAUCGGAUGAACCCAGAUGGGAUUAGCUAGUAGGUGGGGUAAUGGCUCACCUAGGCGACGAUCCCUAGCUGGUCUGAGAGGAUGACCAGCCACACUGGAACUGAGACACGGUCCAGACUCCUACGGGAGGCAGCAGUGGGGAAUAUUGCACAAUAGGGGAAACCCUGAUGCAGCCAUGCCGCGUGUGUGAAGAAGGCCUUCGGGUUGUAAAGCACUUUCAGCGGGGAGGAAGGCAAUGGCGUUAAUAGUGUCAUUGAUUGACGUUACCCGCAGAAGAAGCACCGGCUAACUCCGUGCCAGCAGCCGCGGUAAUACGGAGGGUGCGAGCGUUAAUCGGAAUUACUGGGCGUAAAGCGUACGCAGGCGGUCUGUUAAGUCAGAUGUGAAAUCCCCGGGCUUAACCUGGGAACUGCAUUUGAAACUGGCAGGCUAGAGUCUCGUAGAGGGGGGUAGAAUUCCAGGUGUAGCGGUGAAAUGCGUAGAGAUCUGGAGGAAUACCGGUGGCGAAGGCGGCCCCCUGGACGAAGACUGACGCUCAGGUACGAAAGCGUGGGGAGCAAACAGGAUUAGAUACCCUGGUAGUCCACGCUGUAAACGAUGUCGAUUUGAAGGUUGUGGUCUUGAGCCGUGGCUUUCGGAGCUAACGCGUUAAAUCGACCGCC
RNAcentral lists this ribosomal RNA (876 nucleotides) under uncultured bacterium. RNAcentral's name for it is "bacterial SSU rRNA". It matches the Rfam family "Bacterial small subunit ribosomal RNA", at positions 9 to 873 of the family's 1533-position model. The record is from RNAcentral.